ACCGGCAGCUCAAGUGGUGGCCAUUUUUAUUGGGCCUAAAGCGUUCGUAGCCGGUUUGAUAAGUCUCUGGUGAAAUCCCGCAGCUUAACUGUGGGACUUGCUGGAGAUACUAUUAGACUUGAGGUCGGGAGAGGUUAGGGGUACUCCCAGGGUAGGGGUGAAAGCCUAUAAUCCGGGGAGGAGCACCUGAGGCGAAGGCGCCGAACUGGAACGAACCUGACGGUGAGUCACGAAAGUCAGGGGUGCGAACCG
This 252-nucleotide ribosomal RNA is filed under the name uncultured prokaryote. Its description in RNAcentral is "partial 16S rRNA". It matches the Rfam family "Archaeal small subunit ribosomal RNA", at positions 475 to 726 of the family's 1478-position model. The record is from RNAcentral.